GCCGGGCGUGGUGGCGGGCGCCUGUAGUCCCAGCUAAUCGGGAGGCUGAGGCAGGAGAAUGGCGUGAACCCGGGAGGCGGAUGUGCAGUGAGCCGAGAUGGCGCCACUGCACUCCAGCCUGGGCGACAGAGCGAGACUGUGUCUCAAAAAAAAAAAAAAAGAACUUUAUUGCAUUUUUUUUUUUUUUUUUGAGGCAGAGUCUCACUCUAUUGCCCAGGCUGGAGUGGAGUUGCGCGAUCUCGGCUCACUGCAACCUCUGCCUCCUGGGUUCAAGUGAUUCUCCUGC
RNAcentral lists this long non-coding RNA (286 nucleotides) under Homo sapiens (human). Its description in RNAcentral is "non-protein coding lnc-ANKFY1-4:1". Lineage: Eukaryota; Metazoa; Chordata; Mammalia; Primates; Hominidae. The record is from RNAcentral.